RNAcentral lists this long non-coding RNA (2173 nucleotides) under Coturnix japonica (Japanese quail). RNAcentral's name for it is "lncRNA (ENSCJPG00005017663.1)". Lineage: Eukaryota; Metazoa; Chordata; Aves; Galliformes; Phasianidae. The record is from RNAcentral.
AGAGAAGGAUCCAUGUCCAGCAUGAGUCAAUAUUUGGGAAGGAAGCAGAAAAAUGUUGGGAAGAAAAUUACAUGUGAUGGCUGGCAGCUUUCAGAGGCAUUGCUUGAGUACCAGGAAGGGAUGCCAUAAAGAAGAAGGGCUGACAAAGGUCCUCAACCCCAAGAAAUGGCAUCAGGAAAGAAAUAUCAGGACCAAGAUACUGGGUAUCCCAAACUGAGCGAGGCAGUAUGAGUGCAAUUUCGCUACUUACCCAUAUGGGGCAAAGGCUGCAAAAAUUCAACUUGUCAUCAAGGCAGAAGAAAUGUCUAUUGAACAAAAAGACUCACAAGACAGAGGUUUCUAUCAUCAGAUCUGUGCUUGAUGUUACGAGGAACCCACCAGAUAAGCGACCUGUUUUCCCUGUGCCUCAGAGGAAGUCCUUUGGAGAUGGCUUUCCUUGGGUAGCUGGCUUUGCACUGGCCAUGAUACAGCUAUGUUUCAGCAGUGGGUCAUGUGAACAUAUCAGAGAAAUGCUGUGGAUAAAUGGCAAGGAAAUAAGUGUAAUUUUUCUACAUAAGCCUCCUCUUACUUGGGAUGUAGAUGCUGCUUCCAUCAGCUGUCAUGACUACCUCAGAUUUGAAUGACUCUACCACUGAAUUCCUGCAGAGCCUCAACCGCACAACACGCACCUCUGAGAGUACAAUCCCUGAGCUCUGUAAGUGUAUACCAUGUAGUCAUGUAGCCACACAAUGAAGCUCUUGUUUUGGAGGACAUGAACACAGGGGUAACUAGGGAAAGUAGAAACCCAUCCUUCAGCAGCAUUGAUCUAAAUACAGGCAGCUUAGCUGUAUUAGGAACAGGAAAAGUGUCUGUCUAUAAAGAGAUUAAAGAUGAUUUUUGUGGUACAGAGUUCUUGAUACAGAAGGCUGAAGCCUCACUCAGUCAUGGCAGAAGAAGACUGGGCUGCUGCUAAGCCACUUAGUAUCGUCAGCUUUUUCAUUAGCAUCAAAGAGGUAAAAGGCUUAUCGCUUUCCCAGACUGUUGCACAGACUGGUUUGCUGGAACAUCUUAAUAGAUAUUUCCUAAUAUCCUUUCUUUCUUCUAAUGUUCUCUAAUUUGAUAAAAACAUAUUUCUUUGCCUAGCAGUCGGUUGUAGGCCAAAAAUGCAAGUGUCCCACUGACUGUGCUUUGAUGUACAGUCCCUGCAAUAUGGUUUAAGCUACUUCAUACACACCAGAAAGCUGUGCUACCAUUCAACAAGACCUGGACAGACUGGAGAGUUGGACAGGGAGGAUCCUGACAGGGUUUGACAAAAGCAAGUGUAGAGUCUUGCACAUGGGGAGGAAUAACCACAUGCAUCAGUACAGGUUAGGGGAUGACCUGUUGGAGAGGAGCUCUGCAGAGAAGGACCUGGGUGUCCUGGUGGACAACAGGUUGGCUGUGAGUGAGCAGCAUGUCUUCUGACCAAGAAUGCCAAUGGUAACCUGGGGUGCAUUGAAAAGAACGUGUCCAGUAGGUGAAGGGAGGUGAUCCUCCCCCUCUACUGUGCCUUGGUGAUGUCACGUUUAGAACACUGUGUCUGGUUCUGGGCUCCUCAGUUCAAAAAAGACAGAGAUUGCCUGGCAGGAGUCCAGGAGAGGGCACCAAAGAUGAUAAAGUGCCUGGAGCAUCUCCUGUAUGAGGUAAGGCUGACUAACAUGAGUCUGUUCAGCCUGAGGAAAAGAAGACUGAGAGCAAAUCUGAUAAAUGUUUCUAAGUAUCUAAAGGGAGAUGGGAGGCAAAGGGAUGAGGCCAGGCUCUUCUCAGUGAUUCAUAGCCAUAGGACAAGGAGUAAUGGCCUAAAACUUGAACAUAAUUCUGUACUAAAGUGAGGAAGAACUUCUUCACGGUAAGGGUGUCAGAGCACUGGCACAGGCUCCACAGGCUGUGGAGUCUAGUUCUGUGGAGAUAUUCAAGACCCAUCUGGAAAACUACAUGGACUUGCUGAUCUCUAGAGGUCCCUUCUCAGCCCUGCAAUUCUGUGAUUCUGUGACUCUGCAAUCUGAGAUGAUCCAUAGCAUGCAAGGCCUUUAAGUACACUGAUCACUACUUCCAUUUUACCCUGCGGAGGCUUAAAGUGUAGAGUGGCCUCAGACAUUUCAUCCAUCCUGCGGAAUGUCUCUAAAAUAAACCUCAAAAAAAGAGCUGUGGUGCA